This 21-nucleotide microRNA is filed under the name Callithrix jacchus (white-tufted-ear marmoset). RNAcentral describes it as "cja-miR-9929". The record is from miRBase by way of RNAcentral. Lineage: Eukaryota; Metazoa; Chordata; Mammalia; Primates; Cebidae.
AGUACAAGUCAUGACAUCAGA